RNAcentral lists this ribosomal RNA (497 nucleotides) under uncultured bacterium. RNAcentral describes it as "partial 16S ribosomal RNA". It matches the Rfam family "Bacterial small subunit ribosomal RNA", at positions 28 to 507 of the family's 1533-position model. The record is from RNAcentral.
GAUGAACGCUGGCGGCGUGCCUAAUACAUGCAAGUCGAGCGAACGGACGAGAAGCUUGCUUCUCUGAUGUUAGCGGCGGACGGGUGAGUAACACGUGGAUAACCUACCUAUAAGACUGGGAUAACUUCGGGAAACCGGAGCUAAUACCGGAUGAUAUUUUGAACCGCAUGGUUCAAAAGUGAAAGACGGUCUUGCUGUCACUUAUAGAUGGAUCCGCGCUGCAUUAGCUAGUUGGUAAGGUAACGGCUUACCAAGGCAACGAUGCAUAGCCGACCCGAGAGGGUGAUCGGCCACACUGGAACUGAGACACGGUCCAGACUCCUACGGGGGGCAGCAGUAGGGAAUCUUCCGCAAUGGGCGAAAGCCUGACGGAGCAACGCCGCGUGAGUGAUGAAGGUCUUCGGAUCGUAAAACUCUGUUAUUAGGGAAGAACAUAUGUGUAAGUAACUGUGCACAUCUUGACGGUACCUAAUCAGAAAGCCACGGCUAACUACGUG